UUCCGUAACAGAGUAAAAAAAAACCUUUGUAUCAGCUGAACCCAACCCCGGCCAGGGAGCCAAGUUAUGUUUGGGCUAUUGCUUGUUACAAAGAGGAGUGACACUGCAUCUCUAUUCCAAAGACCAUUCAACCAGAGGAGGGAUUUCCUGAAUAGAGAGCUGCAAAAGAAUGGACGACCCAGAGAAACCCAGAGACAGAAAGAGGAGGGAGGAAACAGGGAAUACCUUCUGUUUCUCUCCUCCAAAGUGAGAGCAAAAUUAUUUGCCAUGCCACCAGGAAUGUGUGCCAUGUUUUUGUCACUCCUUCAACCUGCAUACCAGGGGGACUCCUCUCCUCCCAUCCACCAUCCUAGUCGAAACUCAGUGGAGUUAUUCUCUGUCUGAGAUGCACAGAGAAAGUUUCUCGUCGUUUCGUGGUAUACUCCCUUCGCACACACAGGUGUUGAUAACUGCCAUGUGUGCAGUUAUAUCCCCAUAGCAUCAUGGAUGUCACUCUUGAACUUUGGCUGACCAGAGGUCACAUAGACCUUCUGCUCUUCAGCAUAGAAGAGGCUGUAUGAUACCCAACAGCACAAAUGGACAGUUUUUUCCACUGUGCUUCAACCUUUGUUAAGAUUAGCUUGAAUCAGUAUGGCAGCAUUAUGGAUCUUGUUUGUAAAUGUGUAUAACGUCCAUAUGUCCUGACCGACGUAGCAUCUGGGUGCCUGCUAUUCAUACAUCUGACUUAGCGCCUAGUCCUCCCCUCCUAAACAAAAUGGAACAAGCGGAGUUUUGGUUUGCAUUUUGUAGAUCCAUCAAAGUGGUGUUUUCUUCCACAGUGCCUUUCAGAAGUGUUUUGGGGCUUUGCAAUGACUUCUGCUGCAGAAUCAGGCCUAUUUUUAACGCAGUGUUACCUGAGAGCUUAAAGAUCAUGGCCAUUCAGCACCAGUUUUCAUCCUUGUCCCUUACAAUACAGAGAUUUCUCCUCUUUGGUUACACAGAUAAUGGAAUUCCUAAAUUAUUUCUCAAUUUAUUUUGAGAAAUGUUUAUGUUAAGGUUUUUUAACUAUUUACCUAUACAGUGCUUGAGGUAUUUUUCAUCUUGUAUCUGGUUGCCAGUUAGCCAGAUUGGCUGUGAUAUGUUAAUCUUUUUUGUACCAAAUGUACAUAUACAAAAUUUUUUCCAGUCACAUUUAAAAUCAUAUACUGUAUUAAUAAAUAAGUAAAUAAAAUAAAAAAAAAACAGACAAAUUUUUAAUCUUCAUUCUUCAGCUAGGAUAGUCAGACACAGACAAACUUAGUCUUAUGAAGCCAUGCAGAAUGACAUCUGGUAUUGUCUUGCUGAAAUAACAGCUUACCUCUGGGGAAGACAAGCGUUGAUGGUACAUACUGUAUGUCUGUAUGAAUUCCAACAUACACCUCUGUAUCAAUGCUACCCUCGCACAUAAUGCAUGUCAUUAAUGCCAUGGACACUGAUGCACUCCCUGUCCCGUCAUAGAUUCUGGAUUUUACACUUUUUAUUAGAUGGUCUUCCACAUCUAUCUAAUCUUUGGCACCUGAAAUAACCUUCCUUAAAAGAAACUGUGUCUGCUGUCUUUCUGUCCACCUGAAGUGAGCCCGUGUCCAGAGUAUUUGGCAGGAUAUCUGAUGUAUGGCUUCCUCCUUGUGCAAAACUGUUCCAGAUUACAUUUCUGGAUGCAGCAGCAGACUUUCCUCUAUGGCAAUAGUCUUCCAAAGUACUUCCAAACCAAUAAAGUAAUACUGAAUAAUGAGGAAUGAUAGCUUCUCCUGCAGUUUCACCUGAAAGCACCAAGGUCUUACACAUCCAACAGUGGUUUAGAUUAUUGGCCUUUGCCCUUUGCUGAUGGAACGUAUGACCUUUACUCUGAGGCUCCAGAAGGAGCUGAGGAAAAGACGCUGGAGAAAAUUAAUGAACUUUGUUGACUGUGACAGUAUUAACCUUGUUUGACUACAUGUGAAAUACUGUAUACGUUUUGAAAUAUGCUUGUUUUGUCUGAUUGCCAUCCCAUGACCUCAUUUUGUU
Molecule: long non-coding RNA, 2022 nt
Organism: Melanotaenia boesemani (Boeseman's rainbowfish)
Lineage: Eukaryota; Metazoa; Chordata; Actinopteri; Atheriniformes; Melanotaeniidae
Exons: 4
Source: RefSeq, a predicted model, not a curated record